RNAcentral lists this ribosomal RNA (240 nucleotides) under uncultured bacterium. RNAcentral's name for it is "partial 16S ribosomal RNA". It matches the Rfam family "Bacterial small subunit ribosomal RNA", at positions 122 to 356 of the family's 1533-position model. The record is from RNAcentral.
UAACCUGCCCAAGAGACUGGGAUAACACCUGGAAACAGAUGCUAAUACCGGAUAACAACACUAGACGCAUGUCUAGAGUUUAAAAGAUGGUUCUGCUAUCACUCUUGGAUGGACCUGCGGUGCAUUAGCUAGUUGGUAAGGCAACGGCUUACCAAGGCAAUGAUGCAUAGCCGAGUUGAGAGACUGAUCGGCCACAUUGGGACUGAGACACGGCCCAAACUCCUACGGGAGGCAGCAGCG